GCUUGUCUCAAAGAUUAAGCCAUGCAUGUCUAAGUAUAAAUUGCUUAUACAAUGAGAUUGUGAAUGGCUCAUUAAAUUAGUUAUAGUUUAUUUGGUGGUAGCUACUACUCGGAUAAAUGUAGUAAUUCUAGAGCUAAUACGUGCGUAAAUACAGACUCCUAGAAGUGACGUAUGUAUUAGAUUUAAGGCUUGCUCGUCUCUUGGUGAAUCAUGAUAACUUCACGAAUCGCAUGGCCUCGCGCCGGCGAUAUUUCAUUUAAAUUUCUGCCCUAUCAAUUGGUGAUGGUAGAAUAGAGGCAUAUCAUGGUGUUAACGGGUGACGAGGGGUCAGGGUUCGGUUCCGGAGAGACAGUCUAAGAAAUGGCUACCACAUCCAAGGAAGGCAGCAGG
RNAcentral lists this ribosomal RNA (390 nucleotides) under uncultured fungus. Its description in RNAcentral is "partial small subunit ribosomal RNA". It matches the Rfam family "Eukaryotic small subunit ribosomal RNA", at positions 30 to 432 of the family's 1831-position model. Lineage: Eukaryota; Fungi. The record is from RNAcentral.